AAUAGGGUGGCCCCCUGACUCUAUAUUUUCAAUAAUUUAUUUAAAGGAUAGGCCACCCAAAAAUGAAAUCGAUCCAUUCAGGAGACAUACUGUACAGUACUGUGCAAAAGUCUUAGGCCACCAUGCUUCCAUUAGGUUUGUUGUUUUUGCAAUUGUAUCGUGAUCAUAUAUAAUUAUUUCUCAGUCUCUAUAUUAGAAUACAACCAGAAAAUACAUGAAAUGUGUAUGUAGUAAAAAACAGUAUAAAAGGUAUACAUUUAGGGUAAACUCCCCUUCCACUUGAGCAAUAGCAGGCAGCUGCAGGAUCUCUUAAACCUAAAUGAAAUUAAAUCCUAAUUUCUAUUUCUAAUCAAAUGACUUCAGAUGCUCAAGAUGCGUUUUGUGCCAAGAGAGGUCACACUAAAUACUAACUGAUGCCUAAAGAAGACAUUUAGUUGUGAAAAUUUUUUGUUUUUAAUUUUGUGUACACAUUUCCCGUAUUUUCUGUUUGUAUCUUAAAAAAAAAAGAGUAAAAAAUAAAUAUGAAUGGACAUUAAAACUUUGCUAAAACAACAAAGCUGGGGAUGGUGGCCUAAGACUUUUGCAGUACUGUGCAUGUAAAGUUGUUUGAAGGAUUUUAAUUUUGAGUUAAUUUUGUAUAAUUGUUGUCUGUCUGGAAUAUUUCACUCAAAUAUGAAAAUUCGAGAAACAUGCAUAUAACAACUAGUCUCGAGAUAUGCAAGAACCAAUGAGAAUCAACGUUAUCGAUGUGCCACCAUAUUUUAACUUAUAGUGUUAAUCUGUAUAUUUUUAUUGAAAUGCAAUGUAUUAAACCCUAAAUAACAUAAAAAUAUUUCUUAUUUUCUCUCACAAACGUAUUGUUUCACUUCAGAAGACAUUUAUUAGCACACUGGAGUCAUUCAAAUUACUUUGAUGAUGGAUGUACAGCAUCGCUGCAUCCGAAACCGCAUAUAGUACACUGUUAGAUGUCGCUGUAGAUUUAGCAGUACAUUACUGUAAAAAUCCACAGUACUAUACUGUAUGUGUACAUUACAGUACAGUACUGCAGUUCAUAAUGCAUUCUGGGUAAAUUUGUUUGAGCGGGAACAUUUUACAGUAUCUUUUGGUCUUGAUGUAACCUUGCUGUAGCCAUUGCUGUAAUGUGCCAGGUGUACUUGCAAUAAUCAGAGAAAGUGCGCCAACGUCAAAUCACACAGACAGAGGGAGAGAGAGCACAACUCCUGGCUGCAGCUGAAGGAGGACGAUUGAUUUCUGGCAGUUCGUCUUACCAUUGCUUGUAAGUCGGAUUGGGUAAGAUGGAUCAUCUUUAAAGGAACCAGGAGUUAAGGCAGAUGUGGAGGCACAACGGGUGAUACCAGACACACACCAAGCACAUUAUGUUCGGACAUUCAAUCAUGACAGGAUCCAUGUGGAUGCUGUCCAUUGAGGAAAGAGUUUGUUCAGCGGUUUCUGGAUAGAAUUAAUUCCAAAGAUGGGAAAAAGUGCACAUCCAGACAAGGAGCAAGCAAAAAGACAAGGAACUUGGUGCAGAGAAAAGCUGUGGCCAUUGACCCCCAUGUGAACAGCUUCAUGCAGUCCCUGAUUGAGUUCGAAUGGACGACUUCAAAGUAAAGGCCACUGUGGUCUGUCUGCCACAGUUUAAUGCAUUUAUUUUUAGUGUUAAAUUAAAUUCAAGUAGAAUAUUUAAAACUAUGGGCCAGUGUUCUUUUUACCACAGUGAAAUGUUACCUUUUAGUCGAUGAUGGACUUUAAACUGAAAACUUCAAACUAUGGAACAGUGUUCUAUUUGCCAGAGUUAAAUAUGUUACAGCAGGGGUCUCCAAACUUGUUUAUACUUGUUGAUUUUAUUUUAUUUAACUUGUUUAUAUGUUUAUUAUUGUUUAAAAUCUUGUUUUAAAUAUGUUUUGUUUCAAUUAAAUGUUUUUUUUAAAUAAAAUUUUGAUACAUACAUUGCUUGGAUUGCCUUUUAAUUCAUUAUGUUUUAAUGUAGCAUUUUUACCAUAUUAAUAACUAUAGAUUUAAACCUAAAUAUCUAGCUAUUAUAUAUAAUAUUAUUGUAUUAACUGUAAUAAGUAAUAAAUAGUAUUUAUGGGUCAAUAAAGACAUUACAGUAAAUUACUGUAAAAAUAGACUACUGUAAUAAAAUAUUGUAAAAUUACAGUACAGUACUGCUUUGUAACUAUACAGUACUAGUUUGUGUACUGUAAAAUGGUAUUACAGUACAGUACUGUAAAACCAAAAUACAGUAACUUACUGGCAACCGUGCUGCCAGUACCGUACUGUAAAAAUACAGGGAAAUCGUU
This is a non-coding RNA of Paramisgurnus dabryanus, 2303 nucleotides long. The record is from RefSeq and is a predicted model, not a curated record. Lineage: Eukaryota; Metazoa; Chordata; Actinopteri; Cypriniformes; Cobitidae.